AUGAGGCGGCAAUGGCGGUGUCGACCCUUGCAAGGCCGCAGAUGGUUGCUUGUUCGUGACGGAGCGGUCAGCUCACAGAACAGAGCCCCCACUCCAACCACUGGAUGUCCUAGACUGCCCAGUAGCAGCACCAUCCCAUCCAUUGGCUGCGUGUGCAUUGCUCCUCACCGCAUUUCACCUGAAACGCUUGAGGAGGAGGUCGCCAAAGGAGAGGGGGCACCAGAUCCACAGAACACCACCCUCAUUGGACGUGACCGCCCCAUGCUGCAAGCCACCACCCACCCUCGUCUCCCUUCUCCUCGAUCUCCCAUUCCCUUAUGUGAUGCGCCAUCGUCGAUCUAUCCUCCCUUGCUCAAGAAUUUGGGCGCGGGCCUGGGAUGGGGCUCCCCGAGGUCCAGCGUCCCAUGGCCGGCGGCGCCGCCUCACCAGGCACGGCCUGCGCCUUCACCCUGUCUCGGGACUCCUCCCUCUUCCCAACAGCUCGAGCCAACAGCGACGGGCCGGUCGGGUUCGCCCACGAAGCGUGUGGCCACGAUGGCCUGCACGCGAGCGAUGGGAAGGCGGGGAGGAGGAAGAGGCGAGGCGGUGGAGGAGUAG
RNAcentral lists this ribosomal RNA (597 nucleotides) under Triticum aestivum (bread wheat). Its description in RNAcentral is "partial small subunit ribosomal RNA". Lineage: Eukaryota; Viridiplantae; Streptophyta; Magnoliopsida; Poales; Poaceae. The record is from RNAcentral.